This 389-nucleotide ribosomal RNA is filed under the name Globigerinita uvula. Its description in RNAcentral is "bacterial SSU rRNA". It matches the Rfam family "Eukaryotic small subunit ribosomal RNA", at positions 1174 to 1402 of the family's 1831-position model. The record is from RNAcentral. Lineage: Eukaryota; Foraminifera; Rotaliida; Globigerinitidae.
GCGUGGAGCAUGUGGCUUAAUUUGACUCAACGCGGGAAAUCUUACCGGGUCCGGACACACUGAGGAUUGACAGGCAAUAUAUGUGACUCUUCGGAGUUUGCAUUGUUAAAUAUGCUAGUCCUUUCAUGAUUAUGUGAUAGGUGGUGCAUGGCCGUUCUUAGUUCGUGGAGUGAUCUGUCUGCUUAAUUGCGUUUCAAAUUACUUAUAAGGUAGCAAUACGCGAUGAANCUUUCAAUAGUCCUCACGGAUUCACUUGAGUCUCUCGCUUCGCUAUCCUUUCGAAUGCAACGAACGUGACCGCAACCUCUUGUUGCCUUCGUUUAACAUCCUGCAGCUCGCUGUGGGUACUGAGGGCUUCACUCGGUGACUUUGGGCUGAGCAAUCGGUCU